UCCCUGAAGGUCCGGUGCCUAGGACCCUGUGCUCACAAUGCAGGGGGCCUGGGUUCAAUUCCUGGUCAAGGAA
Molecule: transfer RNA, 73 nt
Filed under: Bos taurus (domestic cattle)
Lineage: Eukaryota; Metazoa; Chordata; Mammalia; Artiodactyla; Bovidae
Also listed under: 2 other names
Rfam family: tRNA
About the family: Transfer RNA (tRNA) molecules are approximately 80 nucleotides in length. Their secondary structure includes four short double-helical elements and three loops (D, anti-codon, and T loops).
Source: Rfam by way of RNAcentral